Vicia villosa (hairy vetch) is the source of this 2323-nucleotide long non-coding RNA. RefSeq lists it as uncharacterized. The transcript is spliced from 2 exons. NCBI's taxonomy places the organism in Eukaryota, Viridiplantae, Streptophyta, Magnoliopsida, Fabales, Fabaceae. The record is from RefSeq and is a predicted model, not a curated record.
UAAUUUUCACUAAAAAUUCUACAAUUGUAUCGUUCCCUCUAUUACACUAAAACCCUAAAAAGAAAAAAAUUGAGCGCCUCUUCUUGUUAUUCCUCUCAAAAUGUUGGCUAGCCAUCUCUACCUCAUCUCAAUUGUUUGCGAUUUCUCAUCAAUGGACUCUCAAUCAUCGUCCCAACUUUUGUAUCCUCUCUCACUUGUAUCAAGUUUAUUCCUUUCUUGAACCGUUCUUGUUGUAAACCCUUAUUUUUUCUUAAAACUUAAAUUUAUAGUUUUUUAUUCUUCAUUUGUUUUGUUUCUGAUUAUAUAUUAUCCGUUCUUGUUGUACAACUGCGAUAUUCGCUUUACAUGUACCUUUUCCUUCUGAUUAAACAUGGCAGUGGAACUUUGCUGAAGGAAUCAAUGUCUUCUAUUUAUUUUUCCUUUUUUUUUCUACUUGGUAUUUUCUUCACUUACGCGAGGGCACCAUCGACUGUGACUUUUCAUAUGACAUCCGCAAAAAUUUCCUCUUCCAAACAAAAUCUGAAACACAUGAUGUUAAAGAGUUACUUGGUUCCUCGAUUACCGAAGACAACAAAUUUUGGAUUAGACUUAAUAUAGAGCAGACUGGUUUCUACAGGGGGGAAAUAUGAUGAGCUGCUUGCUGCUAAACUUAGAUAUGCAAUAGAGAAAAUCUCCAUCAGAUCGGUUUGGAAUUUUGGAUGAUACAUAUGCACUUUGUAUGGCUCGCAAAGAAUCUUUGACCUCCUUGCUUAACUUGAUGGGAGCUUAUAGGAAGGAAGAUGAUUAUACUGUGCUCUCUAACUUGAUAUCAGUAAUGCUAUCUUCUCAAUAUUGCUAAUUACUUAGGUUAUUUAUUGGAUCUAAUUUCAGUUCUCUUGUUUUAAAGAUAAGUGAUAAAGUUCAAUGUAUUGCAGCUGAUGCAGUUCCAGAUUUACUAGUAUUCCCUUUUGAUGGCGUGGAAUCUCCUUAUGUAUUCCCUUUUGAUGACUAUUUUUAAUGGUGGCAGGCAGUUUAUGUGGCUGUAAUGAAACGGGCAACCAAAUCUAACCUGUCGGGUUAUGAAUCACUUCUGAAAGCAUACAGAGAAACUGACCUAAGUCAGGAGAAAACGCGUAUUCUGGGUAAUGAAAUAUCUUCAGUGAAUGAGCGAAUUUUUCUUGGAUGCAUUUUUCUUGGGUAAAGCUCUGGCUGAAACUUUGAACGAGGGAAUUGAGACGAUGGUUGCUGAGGUUUUCUAUAGUUUGACUGGUAGCAUAUACUAUUGUGUUGGACCUUAAUGUUCAAUAGGUGAUCUUAAUAAUAACUGGUUUAGGAUCAUAGUAGUCAAUAGCUUCGCAAUCCCGCUAUAGCAGGGCGGAGCAGAGGCUGGACAUGCUAUUGGAAGAGCCUUAGCAGUGCAUAACAGUACAGUUGGUCCAGAGUGGUUUCUGUCCCGCUAUCCAUUUCCCCUCUGAAAAACCAAUGUUUCCCAUUGAAGAAGUGUCUUGUGUCAAACACCAACACGACACUAACAUGUCUUUAUAUCCAAUAACAUGUUUCUCAAAUUAUUAUUGGUGUUUCCGCGUCAGUAUCUAUAUUUUCUGUGUAUUUGGCUGUGUCAGACCUUCAUAUAUCAAUCUAACGUUGCAGUGACGCACAAUUUAAAAUUGAUGCAUUGCACUGUGAACAACAUUCUGCUGAUGGGGUUAUUUCAAAUUUAGAAUUUAGAUGCACUUCUUUGACUAGUUUGAAACUAAUUUAUAUACAGGAAGAAGUGUUGGAUAAAGCCAAAAAAGCAAAGGAGAAAGCAGCACGUGAAGCUACAGAGGCACAACCACAGGGUCUUGUUAUUCCUUCGUACUCAUACAUUGGAAAUAAUGUUCGGAUGCUGAUUCUGCUGUUGUGAUUGCAGAUAGUCUUAGGAGAGAGAAGUCCACAAAAGGCUUUUAAAUACACGGAACUACUUGUUUUAAUACCGGAUCCUUUUCAAUGGAUAGCACAUUUGUAGCGUACCAUCCUUGCUCUCAGGAAGUUGAAUUGUCAUCCUUGUGAACUGAAUAUGGUUCUUUUGGUUCUCAUCCUCAAAAUAUCAGCAUGUUGAAUGUGCCUGCUUCGUGUUAUUUUAUUUAUCACAUAUAAAAUCGAUGCAAUGAAUGGAGUGGGGGAUCUGGUAUUGCUGCUUUUUGGGAAGGUUGAAGUCACUGCUAUCUUGUUUUUUUAGUAGGAAUGUACCUAGUCUAGUUGAGGAGGUAGUCUAUCUUUAAUUUAGAUAAUAUUUACAAGGCUAUUCAUGUAAAAUAAUAUCCGAAACUGUUAUUUGGAUAGUGCAAUCUUCAUUGUCAUA